GCUCUGGUAGCUCAGUUGCCAGAGCAGUGGGAUGUUACCCCACGGUCCCGGGUUCAAAUCCCGGCCGACGCG
Non-coding RNA from Phthorimaea operculella (potato tuberworm), 72 nucleotides. The record is from the annotation of a GenBank genome assembly. NCBI's taxonomy places the organism in Eukaryota, Metazoa, Arthropoda, Insecta, Lepidoptera, Gelechiidae.